UCGAAACCUGCACAGCAGAACGACCCGCGAACUUGUUUACCAAACCCCGAGGGGCGGGGCCCGCUCUGUCCCCCUCGGGAGCCGGGACGCGCCGAGAGGCGCGCGACGGCAAGUACCCAAACACCGGCGCGGGUUGCGCCAAGGACUAUGAAAAUUCUACCGCGUCCCACGGCCCCGGGCGACCGGGCGCCGCGGCGACCGCGCGUCGAAAGAUAUAAAGUUGAACGACUCUCGGCAACGGAUAUCUCGGCUCUCGCAUCGAUGAAGAACGUAGCGAAAUGCGAUACUUGGUGUGAAUUGCAGAAUCCCGUGAACCAUCGAGUCUUUGAACGCAAGUUGCGCCCGAAGCCAUCCGGCCGAGGGCACGUCUGCCUGGGCGUCACGCAUCGCGUCGCCCCCUCCCCCUCCGACUCGGAGCGGCGGGAGGGGCGGACUAUGGCCCCCCGUGCGCCCCCGCGCGCGGCCGGCCUAAACACGGAGCCCGUGGCCGCGAGCGCCGCGACGUUUGGUGGUUGAAUAUCGAGCAUCGCGUCGCGCGCCGUAGCGUAUUCGGAGAGCUCGAAGGACCCUUAGGCGAAUCGGCCUACCCUUGCGACCCC
RNAcentral lists this ribosomal RNA (599 nucleotides) under Eriogonum ordii. Its description in RNAcentral is "eukaryotic LSU rRNA". The stretch from base 227 to 382 matches the Rfam family "5.8S ribosomal RNA". Lineage: Eukaryota; Viridiplantae; Streptophyta; Magnoliopsida; Caryophyllales; Polygonaceae. The record is from RNAcentral.